Bubalus bubalis (water buffalo) is the source of this 2903-nucleotide RNA transcript. RefSeq lists it as uncharacterized. NCBI's taxonomy places the organism in Eukaryota, Metazoa, Chordata, Mammalia, Artiodactyla, Bovidae. The transcript has 4 exons. The record is from RefSeq and is a predicted model, not a curated record.
UACUCCACGGCUUCCGGUGGGCGGCCUGAGGAGGGGAGUGAGAGGCGACGGCCGCGGGGACGCUCAGGGCGGGGCUCGAAGCACGGAAACGGCCCUCCGCUUCGUGUCCCCCGCCCCUCCAUCUCGGUGCACAGAAGCCUGCCCUCUGGGUCCUGGGCGGGGCCAAAGCCCCGCAGUUCGCUGGGUUGUGCGUCUUUUCCUGGGGAGAGGGCGAAGAGACGCCUCCCCAGAGUCCAGGGCCCUGGAGACCUUGGGGAUUCCGUCGGGGCCCCACUCCCCACUCCCGGCUGGACUCCCCCUGCUGUACUGAGGGCGUCUGGCCCUCGAGAUGGCCCAGGACAGUGUAUUAGGGGCGCCCAAGGACCGUGUGACCGGGGAGGGUGGGCGGCAACCCCGCCAAUAUGCCAAAGGGCAGGGUCAGGGGGUCUUCGCUUGGCCCCGCCCUCCAGUCCUGGCGUCUGAGGGCGGCCUUGCCCCGCGCUCCUGAUGCCUUCCACCCUCCCAGGGUCUCGAAUCUGGCCGCCUCCAGCCGCCCCCACCCAUUGCCCGGCCCACCGUGUUCCACAGCCCAUGAGUGUGACUGGGAUGAUUCUCUGUGAAGCCCGGAUCCUGCCCCCUUCCCCCCGCCCCACACGGAGUAACAAGGGAGAGGUGUGGCCCGCUGGGAGGGAAUCUUGCCCAAGCACUCCUGUUCUCCAGGACCGCCUAUGGUUGCAGCCCUCAGUGCCUGCUGCCUGCCUCUUCCCUGGAGGUCAAGGGCUGGGAAAAGCCACGAGGUUGGUGGCUCUCGCGAGAUCUGGGGCUUCCCAUUGAGCAGUCGUCACCCUUCCCUGCCUGAAGCCGAAGGAGGGGCUAUCCACAGCCCAGGCAGGAUCAGGUGUCAGGUGUGGUCAGCCUUCUCUCGCUGGUGGGAAGCCACUGCCUUUCCUGCCACACGUUCCUCACCAAGAGGAUCUCCCAGCUCCUGGGUGAUGCUGCCCAGACCUCCUCAACACCCAGCACCACCACCCACUUCUUUGGCCAGUCUUUGCCGAGGCUUGUCUGUCUUUGGCUCCAGGAUGGCCCACCAUCCAGUUGGAGCCACAGAUGAAAAGCAAUGCCAGUGUCCAGCUGCCCCAUGUGCCCAGAACCAGCAGCUCUGGAACCCCAGCCCCCGAGUACAUUCUUGUAGUGGGAUCAUUUCAGGGGAGGGGGGUGGCGCUUUGGUUGGCAUUUUCCAAGGCCCUCUCCUGCACCCUUUUCCUUUGGGUCACUGGUCUUUUCUUAUUUACUGGUUCAAGUUCUCUAUACCUUCACGAUAUGAGCCCUGAGUCACAUCUUGGUACUAUUUUUUGCCCCACUUUGUCACUUGUCUCUUGACUUGGUGGUUUGGGGUUUGCGUUUGACUAGGCAGACGAUCUUAGCGUUUGUGUCAUCAGACUUUCCAGGGUCUUCCUAUUGGUUUCUGGGGUUUCUUGUCGGUUUGUUUGCUCCCAAUUGACUUACGGUGAUCUUCUCCAUUUAAAGUCAUCAUGUAUAAAUUACCCAUUGCUGAAUAACAAGGGGCUACCCAGGUGAAGGUAGCGUAAAAACCUGCCUGUCAACACAGGAGACAUAAGAGACAUGGGUUGGGAAGAUCCCCUGGAGAAGGAAAUGGCAACCCACUCUAGUACUCUUGCCUGGAGAAUCCCAUGGACAGAGGAGCCUGGCAGGCUACAGUCCAUGGGGUCGCAAGGAGUCGGACACGACUGAAGUGACUUAGCAUGCAAGCAUGUGUAGCAAAUUACCCCAGAUGUAGUGUAGUCCCUUAAAACAACCAGCACUGGUAAUCUCCCAGGUGUCUGAAGGACAGGAUUCUAGAAGGCCUGGCUGGGGCUUCUGGCCUGGGGUCCAUCACAGGCUGCAGUCAAGGCUUCUCCGGGGCCACAGCCCUCUGGUCUGCCUGGGGUGUUGGGGUGGGAGGGGGGUAGGCUCUGCUUCUGGAGGGUUCACGGGGCUGCGGCAGGGGACGGUCCCUCCCCACCGGGCCUCUCCACCAGGCUGCUUGGGUCAGGCCUUCCCCAGAUCCAGCGAUCUCAGAGAGACAGAGCAGCCCCGAGAUGGAAGCCACAGUGUUUGUCUCAUAACUCAUCUCGAGGUGACGCUCCCUCACCUCUGCUGUGAUUUUAUGGAUCACACUGGUCACCCCGUGGAGAAGAGAACGGUACCCACGUGGGCCUAGGUUCUUCAUGUUCGUGCCGCGUGAGAAGGCUCCAAGGAGUGUCCCUGCCCCUGAGCCCGGGUGUGGGACUCCCAGGCUGCCCAGGCCCCUCAGGAAUGUGUCCUUUGUGGAAGCAGGGGUGGCGGGUUGCAGCCCGGAACCGAGCCAGGCCAGGCGUGUGUUGUACAGGCAGAGAGUGGCUUUUCACCUUGAAAUGGUUGCAGACCAAACACACGGAAAGCCAGAGAAACAGAGAUCGUGUGAUGAUCCCAGCAUGGCCCACAGAGCCUGCGGCGUGUGCCCUCUGCCCUCCGCCCAGGAGUCUGCAGCCUGAAGGGCCGUCCCAGCCGGUGGUGCAGCCCUGAGCACAGGCGCAGAAGCUUUCUCACCCUGGCAGCCUGUGCAUGCCACGGCUGUGCAAGUGCACACUCAGGCCUGGGCCCCAUGCUCUCUGACCUCCGAGGUGUGCCCACCCUGUGGUCAGCCCUGCCUGCACCCCCUCCUUCCCAGGGGGCCCCCGUUGAGGGGGUGAAGGCUGAUGAGCCCCCUUUCUUCAAUGGCUGUGCCCGGUAGCCCUGGGCUGGGCUGCUGCCAGCCUGGGGUGGCAGCUGAGUGUCCCUUUGGUCCCAGGAAGGCGCUCCCGCUGUGCCCAUGGGGGACGUGCCUGCUGCCCCACCUCCUGUCUGGGACUGAGACAGGACUUCCCGGUGAAACGCUUGAUGGC